This is a non-coding RNA of Podarcis lilfordi (Lilford's wall lizard), 71 nucleotides long. NCBI's taxonomy places the organism in Eukaryota, Metazoa, Chordata, Lepidosauria, Squamata, Lacertidae. The record is from the annotation of a GenBank genome assembly.
GCUGUGGCUCAUUGGUAGAGCAUCUGCUUUGCAUGCAGGAGGUCCCUUGGGGUCAGACUCUGGCAUCUCCA